UUUUUUCUCAAACGUACGAAAUAACGUAGUAACUUCAGAAACCAUAUUGUGCAUCUGUGUGCACUAAAAUUUUAUUGGAAACACAAAGUAAACAACAAUAUAGAUUCAGAUCAGGUUCACCAAUUUUUUUCAGAUCCUUAAAUGGCUCAACGAAUUGUUCCCAUCACGUUUUCUAGCCACAUAGUGGUUGGAGGCUUCCGGAGUGGUUUCCCUGUACUUGGGAGGGUUUUCUUCAGACAAAAGCUCUUUAAUGGGUCCAUAUACUCUCGGACUUAUUGAAGGAGGAUGCACAAAGAAAGAUGCAACCGAAGUGCGUGGCUCUUUACCUCCAUUUGCCAAAACUCUAUGCUCCACACUCACAAACUUGUCAUUCGUCAUAAGCUGCAAAAAAAAAAACACUAUGAAGACCUUGUUUUCUUACUAAUUAUGGACCGUUUGAUUAUGAGUAAACAACAACUUGCCUGUAGGAGAUCUCCAACAUUAAGGAUAAGAGCAUUAGGAUUAGGAGGAACAUCGAUCCAGUAUCCAUCAUGGAGAACUUGAAGUCCUCCAAUAUGGUCUUGAAGAAGUAUAGUGAUGAAAGAUCUGUCUGUAUGCUGAGUGGCGCCGAGCGUUAGGUCUGGCUCAGGACACGGCGGGUAACAAUGACAGAGCAUCAACAAGCCUUUUGCACAAUCCAUUUCUUUGAGGUGGUUAGGCUUCAGCCCUAAGGAUUCUGAUAUGAGCUCAAAUAUUAACUCCCCAAACAUCAUCACUCUCUUUGAGUAGUCCAACAUGAUCUCCCUAAAACAUUGAACAUAAAUAAACUCUCAAAACCCAUCAAACAAAAAUAUUAAGUUAGUCCAAAGAUUAAUUUAAAACAAGAGAAGCCGUGUUCGUACCUACAAAUGUCUGGUAACUCAUCGGUUUUGGGAACAUCAGGGAACAUAAAACAACUUAAGGUAUCUCUCCAGCUCGCAGCAGGAGAGUCAUAGAGAUCAGAGUUAGAGUUAUACUUUAUCGCUUUGUCCUGUAGUAGAUCACCAACAUUAAGGAUAAGAGCAUUCGGAUUAGGAGGAACAUCGAUCCAGUAUCCAUCAUGGAGAACUUGAAGUCCUCCAAUGUGGUCUUGAAGAAGAAUAGUGAUGAAAGAUCUGUCUGUAUGCUGAGUGGCACCGAGUGUUCGGUCUGGCUCAGGACACGGCGGGUAGCAAUGACAAAGCAUCAACAAGCCUUUUGCAAAAUCCAUUUCUUUGAGGUGGUUAGGCUUCAGCCCUAAGGAUUCUGAUAUGAGCUCAAAGAUUAACUCCCCAAACCUCAUCACUCUCUUUGAGUAGUCCAACAUGAUCUCCCUAAAACAUUCAACAUAAAUAAGCUCUCAAAACCCAUCAAAGAAAAACAUUAAGUUAGUACAUAGAUUAAUUUAAAACAAGAGAAGCCGUGUUCGUACCUACAAAUAUCUGGUAAGUCAUCGGUUUUGGGAACAUCAGGGAACAUAAAACAACUUAAGGUAUCUCUCCAGCUCGCAGCAGGAGAGUCAUAGAGAUCAGAGUUAGAGUUAUACUUAAUCGCCUUGGUUUUUUCACGGCUAUAGAACCUUUUCCUCGCUUCUGGAUCUUGCGCGUGAAACGCACGGAUCCCAUCUUUCAUCUUCUCCAUGACCUCAAGUGGAAUCCCAUGAUUUAUCGCCUGGAAGAAACCAAACUUCUCCAUGGCGCCUUUCACCUUCUCAGUCACUUCCUUUCUUGUGACCGUGGACUCGAACACGCCACCUCCGAGAUCUAUCGUUGGGAUAGUCAAGGUAGAAGGAGGUUUAGGGUUAGUUACCGUGGCUUGCGGGUUAUGGAAUAUGCGUGGGAUUUUUGUGAUUCCAGCGUCGACGAGACCCUUCACGCCGAUUUUCAUCUCGUCGAAUGCUUGUACCUCGCCGGCACGGUUAAAUGUUCCCACCAUUGUACACUUGGACUCCAACCUUUUUUUUAGUGCUUUAUGAAACAGGGAAACUUGUGUUUUGAGUCACCUAGCUCUGUCUCUAUAUAUAAGGAGGGAAAACUGGUGAAGGCAUGAAAUAGAGCGCAAAGAGAAGGAGAUAUAUUGAGAUACCGUCUGUAUUAUUAAUAUCAUAAAAGAUAUUAUCAAUUUUAUAUCAUAUUAUUAAAAAUUAUUAUCAUAUCAUCGAGAUGUGUAUCUUUUAGGUUAUGAACGGAAACCAUAGUGCGGUGCAUAUUUGGAAUUGAUAUCCUUUUGAAGUUAUAAAUGUCAGCAACCAUAGUGCGGUGCAUAUUUGGAAUUGAUGUGAUUUUAAAAUUAUAAGUGUUUUGAGUCACCUAGCUCUGUCCCUAUAUAUAAGGAAGGAAAACUGGUGAAGGCAUGAGAUAGAGGCCAAAGAGAAGGACGGGUCGUGUAAUCAAUCCAUUCAGCGGCGCGCGUGCCAAUACAUAAAAAAUAAUACUCUAAAAAUUGGUUUAGAAAAGAGUCAUUUAAGCUUCAGAAAGUGAGAUUUAGAGUAAACGCUAGGACGAUUUGUAUAUCUUAUAAAUAGAUCAUACUUACCCAAGAAAAAUAUUAUGCUAAAAGAAUGGAUAUCACUCAAAGCUGUAAUAGGAUAAUUUUUUUCUUUACAAAAGUCAAAUUAAUAACAAUGCACAAUCGACUAUCUAAUUACUCGAACAUGAUUUUCCGAAGUAUUGUCGUUGUUGUGCACUACGUUGCACGGAAGCUUCAUCGGACGUCCGCUUCCCGCUUCGGAACCGGAAUCGGAAUCGGAACCUUGUGGAAGCUUACGGAAUCUCGCUUCCAGAACGCUUCCAAAAUAUUCUUUUUAAAAACACGUUGGAAGCUUAUGAUUCCAUUUUGAAAUCACGCUUCCGUUCUUUAAAAAAAAUACAAGGUUGAAUAUCAAUAAAAAUAUAAUCGUAGUUAUUAAUUUCUGUAAAAUCAAAAUUUUAAUAGUAAUGAAUAGAGAGGAUAUAAAUAUAUAAAUAUUAAAAUUAAUACUAUAAAUUAUCUUUAUGUAUUGAGGUUUUUAUUAAACAUAUAUCAUAUAUUCAAAUAUAUUGUGUCAAUUAUUUAUGAAGCAUUAACAAUAAUUAAUAUAAUAAUUUCUUUUAAACUUAAUUUAUGUCUAUUUUCACAGUUUUAAUAUGAAAUCAUUACAAAAUUAUUACAAAUGAAUAAAUAAUUUAUUUAAAUUUAUAACUUAUAAUUUUUAGUCCUAAUUUUUUUAAGAAAAUCUUAUAUUUUAAUAUAUAUAUAUAUAUAUAUACAUAUGGAUAUACGCUUCCAAUACGUACCCGCUUCCUAAUUUUUCAAAAAAUCUCGCUUCUGCGCUUCCAUACGCUUCCGCUUCCGCGUACCCGCGGCACAAGCAUAUGACUAAGGUUUAUUAUUCUUCUUUGGAGAGCUAGGUAAUUUUUUUUUGUUUUUUGGUUUGGAGAGCUAGGUAAAUUCUUCUGGAUGAAAUUUGUAUCUUUGUUUAUCAAAUCGUGUUUAUAUUUUCUUCCAUUUAUUAGUGUAUUAACCUUACUUAACUUAUUAUACUGGAAACUUGAAAGAUGUUCUGAUAUUCCAAGUAUAGUAAUUUGCUGAUAUCAUUUCGUAGUAGUUAACCUGAAGCCAUUAAUUGGAUUAAAAAAGGUUAACAUUAAUUAUUAAGGGUUGAACGUGGAUGACAGAGAACCAAGGAGAUAUGUUAAGAUAUCGUCAGUAUUAUUAAUGUCAAAAAGAGAUCAUCAAUAUUAUAUCAUACUCCUAUUAUUAAAAAUAAUUAUCUUUUCAUCGAGAUGUGUAUCUUUUAGGCCUAAUUAGAAUUAUUUUAUCAUAUUAUCAAUAAUAUAUCAUAUUAUCAAUAAUUUAUCAUAUUAAUAAAUCAUUUUUAUAUUAUGAAUGGAAACCAAAGCGCGGUGCAUCUUUGGAAUUGAUGUGAUUUAAAAGUUAUAAAUGUCAGCAAUAAUAAGUAAAAAUGCAAUUUCAAGAAUGUUUCUAUAAAUAUUUCCUUUUUUAUUACAUAUGGUUUGGGAAAACUAAAAAAUGAAACUAAACCUAAAAUUUUAAUUGAAAAACUAUUAUGUAAAAUUGAAAAUAUCUUUUUAUAAUAACAUUAUAUAUAUUAUUUUAGUUUUUUGUCAACAUAUAACAUUUUCGUUAUAUAUCAUAAUCAUUAAUUGUAAAACCAAAAUAAGAACAACAUAGAAAAACUGACUUAUAUAAUAGAUUUUCAAUUGUAAACUUUCACUGAUCUAUAUUUUGUUAACCAUGAUGCAUAAAUUGUUUAAAUAGGUAAUGCUAACAAAAUGAGAUCUGAUCCGAGAUAGAAAAAGCAUGUGACUUUCUAUUAGGGCUGAGUCGUUACUAUAAAAGGGUUUUGGACAAAAAAAAAUAUCUUAUAUAUUAAAAUAGAAGUCAAAACUUUGAUUCAUGUGUGAUUUUUUUAAAAAUGAAUCUAAUAGACAUAUUCCUAGAAAAUCAUGUUACAUUUAAUCUCUAAUCUUAUCAUUUAAAUUUUGGGUCUGCCAAAAUUUUUUAUUGGACUAUCAAUAAUUGGAUUUAAACAAUAGAUAAUCCAUUUGAUUUAUAGAUAGUAUAAAUUAAAUAAAUAUAAUUUAAUGUUGUAAUACUAUAUCUCUAUAUGUUAAAUAUUUAAAUAUUUGUCGAUGUUAACUUUUAAAAUUAUAAAGAUUUUUUUUAAAUAACAAAAAUCAUAUUAUCUAACAAUGAUUAAUCUUUACUACCUUAAACCAAUGAAAACAAAUUUAAAACUAUAUGAUUUAUUUUAAAAAACAAAAACUAAAUGUUUAAUUAUUUACUCGAUAAUAUAAAUUUAUGAAGCGAAAAGUUUAUUUUUUUAAAAACUUUCUAAUUUUUGAGAUGUUACAAUAUCUUUGAAUAUAACAAUAAAACAAUAUUUUACUAAUCGUUAUAUAUAGUUACGAUUUUAAUAAUGAAAUAAUAAUCCGAAAAUAUAUAUAUAUAAAAAGAUACAAAUACAUGUGAAAGUUUGAAAUAAUAUAUUCAAUCAAAAAAAUAUACCGUAAAAUUAUUAUGUUUUAAAAAUUGAUAGACACAUAUAUAUUAUAAUAUAUAUCAAUUUAGAAUGGAAAACAAAAUAUUUAUAUAAAAAUAAAUGAAAACAAACCGCGCGGAUCGAGAUCUAGUUAUAUAUUGAGUAGGAAGCAUUUUAAUAUAUUAGUCCUGUUGAUAUGAUAUUAGUAUAAUAAUUUUUAGAGUCACUAUAAAAACAAGUUAAAAUUAUUAGAAAUAUAUCAUUCAUUAAAAUUCAUUAGGUACAGUUCAUCCUAACUUUGAGUUUCUCUAUGACACAAACAUGAGGUGUUGCACCUUCUAUCAUUCCUCGAUGUCGACGUCGUCGCUGUUCAUCCCCGCCUUUCGCUCUCUUCAUCAUUGCCGAUUCUUUUGGUCCAGUUCUUAGUCUCUGCUUCAAAUCUACUCUUGUCUUCAACGGAAAAAUAAACCUAUUUCAAUAUGAACUUUAUUCAUGGUGCCUAUUCUUUUACGAAUUGGUAGUAUUGAAUAUAUAUUUUAUAUUGAACUGAACAAAAAUCUAAAAAUACUAUAGGAACUUUAAGUAUUGUGCUUUUCCAUUCUUGAAUUUUAUAAUAGUGCAUAUUUCAUACUAGACUAAACAAAAAUUCAAAAAUAUUACAUGAAUUUUCAAAAUCGUGCUUAUAUAUAUAUAUAUUGAUCAUCAAAGGUAUUAGUCAUCCGUAAAUUUAUAAAAACACAUUAUUUUGGAUACUCUAUAAAACUAAAAUUUUAAAAAUACUACAUGAACUCUCAAACAUAUAUAUAUGGACAGUCAAAAGUGUUAGUCAUCCCUUAAUUUAUCAAAACACGUCAUUUUGGAUAAAUUAUAUUAAAUGAAAAAUUACUUUUGGAAGAUUUAAACUCUCACACUGGUGGAUAAGUAUAGUGUAAAUAUUUAAAUUAAUAAUAAAUAUUUAAAAUUAUAAAAUAAUGAUUUAAAAGUUAAAUUUUAAUAAAUAAAUAAUUGUAGAUUUAUUUGAUAAAACUAAAACAAUAAAAAUUUGAUAAGAUUUAUUUUAUUAAGCUAAAACUUAUAUAAGUUAAUGUUUAAACAAUUUAUACAAGAAAAUUAUUUUGGUCUAUCAGUUAAUAUGAUCUUACUUGUCCAUCAGUGUGAGAGUUCGAACCUCUCAAAAAUUAAUUUUUAGUUUUACAAAAUUAUUCUAAAUAACGUUGUUUUGAUAAAUUAACGGAUGACUUACAUAUUUGAGGGUCAAUAUAUGAGCAAGAUUUUGAGAGUUCAUCUAUUUUAAAUUUAUAAUUUUACAUAAUUUAUCCAAAAUGAUGUCAUUUUAAUAAAUUAACUAGGAUACGACCUGCGCCUUGCGCAGGGUAAAUUUAUAUAAAAAUGAUUUAAGAAAUAUUGUAUUAAAAAAAAUUAUAUUCUUGACCGACUUAAUAUUUUGGCCGUUAAACAAUUUUUUUAAACUUUUUGUUAAUUACAUAAUUUCUUUACUGAUGAGAUGAUUCUAUUUCUUAAAACUAUUUUAGGUCAAAAAAUCAAUUAUCGCAUAAGAACUUAACGUUUAGACCGAAGAAUCUCAAGUCUACUAUUUGGUUACAAUAAAACUGCGUUACCUCGGUUUUAUAUCAUGAUUUAGCAAUCCUAUCUAUCUUCGAUAUUUUUCUCUUGUCUGUGUAUCUUUUUCAUUUUGGUUAUUGUUCGAUACAAAUAUUGAUUUAGGAAUUUAUUCUCAUUUCGUUCGUUUAUUUUGGCUUGAGAUUUAGAAAAUAUUUAAGAUUUAAAAUUAUUAAUGAGAUACAUAUUUAGGCUAAGAUCCACGCCUUGUGGAGAAUAAAAUAUUUUAUAUUUAUUACUUAUUUUAUGUUUUUCUGCAUAUUAUGAAAUAAUAAAAUAAUAAUUAUAUAUAUUAAAUAACUGAGAAAUCAGUUACUAUUAUGUAAUAAAUUGGCGUGCUCAUAUAAAUCAAACAACCAAAUCUUGUUUAUUCGCAAUCAUUUUAGGAUAAAUAAAUCAAAACAAUAAAUCUUAUCUAUUAGUAUAUGAUAUAUAAUUAAAUUUAAAUGAUAUUAACAUAGAUGUAUAGUAUAAUUUUAAUAUGGAUUUUUAUUAAAUGAGGUUUCUACUCAUGAUUUUAUGAUUAUUUGCAUAUUUAUGUAACAAAAAUUUUUUGAUGUGGGAUUUUUAUUAGUUUCAAUAAUUUAUAAUCAUUAAAAAAACACCAUGAAAUUUUCAAAAUUAAAAUAUUAACUUUUCAGUAUAUGGUCAAUGCAAAUAUCAAAAUAUUAGUAUGUAUUUUCAUAUGAAGUUUAGUUUAAUUUAAACGAUAUAAUAUAUAUAUACAUAAAAACCUAUUUAAAUAAAAUUAUUUAUUCAUAUAGUCUUAUAAUCAUUGUAUCUUAAUAUAAAAAAAAUUAAAGCUUAAUCACAAAAGGUAUGGAAGACUUUUAACAGUUUUAGUAUUUUAUAUACAAAAAAAACCUAAUUUUUUAUUAUAUGAUUAAUGUAAUUGUGCAAUUUAUUUAAAUAAUAAAGAACUAAAAAAAAAUGUUAGAAAGUAUACAUAUGGUUAUCAAAUAUUUAUUAUUUAAAAUCAUUAAUUGCCAUAUAUAUAUUUUAAUCACAUUAGGUAAUUCUGUAUGUUUUAUUUAAGGAAAGAAUAGAGAAUAAAUUUUAAUUUGAUAAAUGAAUGAUCCAUAAUGGACAUACUAUAUAAUAUAACAUUUCGUACCAAUUUAACUUUAGACUAACAAAAUUCUAGCAUUCCAAUUAUGUAACAACUCAACAUGACACUUUUUAAUUAGUACAAUUACAAGUUAUAAUUUUUAAUUGUUUCUCUAUUAAUAUAUAAGGGAUUAAUAAAAAGCGUCUAUUUUUAACCACCAAAUAUAGAGUUUCUAGUUUGUAAGUAUAUAAAUAUUGGUUAUGAGAGACAAAAUAUAGUAAUUUGCAUCCCGUAAUAUUUAGUGUAUUAUUUCCAAUUUAUUUGUCAUCAUAUUAAGUAUUUCUUGAUAACAAAGAAAAUAGUUUGAUAACGAAGAACACAACUUCGGGUAAAUUCAUAAAGUAAAAAUAAUGUCAUUAAUUACCCUUUAAGUUUAUUCACCACACAAAAUCUUUAGCAUGAUUUAAUGGUUAUCAAAUGUAAAAGAUAUCAUAUACCUCAAAGAUACCGAAAACAUAUUUGUAAUAUAGUCUUUACCAUGUAUGAUAAUAGCAUUCUCGUACCGAAGGUUCAACAAACAAAUUUUGGUGCAUAUUAAAUUGGCUAGACUCCGUCUUUUGCGUUAAAAUAAGUCAAUUACCAUAUUUGGUAUCAUCAAGUCAUAUUACACAUUUUUAUUUGGUAUCAUCAAGUCAUAUUACAUAUUUUAAAAAUGUGUUUAGAUGCUUUCUUGACUCCGUCUUGUGUGUAUAAAAGAGUCAGCCAAGUUUAUCUCUUCCCAGAGAAUAAUGUUGGUUUCUCAUGACACAUUUAACUCAGUGUAGAGCGAUUAAUAUUGGUUAUAAAUAACUCUUUCUAGCCAAGUUUGAAUCCAUUCAAAAGUAAGGCUUGAGAAACGUUUUUGCUUGUGUUACGAAUGAACAUGGAACUUAUGACAUAACAUAACUGAAAUGACAUUAUAUCGAAUGUCAACCAUUACGCAACUUAAAUGAAAAACCGUAGGGGAGAUUGGAUGAUGACAAAUAAAAAUUAGUAAUUUUAACAAAAUAAUGUAUCCAUAACUCUAUAGCUUGUGUUUUACCAAGAAAAAAAACUACAGCUUGUGAGAGAAUUAUACUUUCAGUUAUUAAUGUGUGUAGGCGCUAGACAUAUAGAACUAAAGGGCAAUGCUAUAGAGACGGACGACUACGACCCUAUGAUUUCUGAAGGUGAUAAAGAACAUAAUAAAUAGCAUGUAAGUUUUUAUUAUAUAUCAACUGAGAGUAAAGAACUAUACCAAUAUCAUAAGUUGGAGAAAGAUGUCGAGAUAAUUAAAAAAUGAAAUUGGACAAAGAUGUGUGUUGAACAAAGAUUUGGAGAUAUACCAAAAAUAUAUGCUGUCAAUAGUUUUUUGGGUCUAUGCUAAUGUUUUGUUUGUGAUAAUGAUUACUGGAAAACGUAUUUCACUUAUCAAAAGGGUUGUGGUUAACUUUAUUGAUAAUGAUGAUAAUAACGUGAAAACGAAUUGCAGGUUUCCAUAUUUUCAAAGAAUAUUAAUUUAAUAGCCUUGAUGUCGAAGAAUAUUAACUUGAGAUCUUGAAUAUUAAAUUUAUCAUAUACAUUCUAUACAUUCUUUACAUUAUAUACAUUUGUAUUUGAGUUAAUAUAAAUUUUUCUAGCAAUUAGAUUUUGGACUUACUAAUUUUUCAAUUGAUUCUUAUGCUGCUACAUAAACCAAAUCGACAUUUUAAUUAAAUGACACAUAGGCAAUGUUUUUUUUAAUUAAUACAAACUUAAGUUUACGACUUUUUUAAUGAUUUUCAAUUAAUAUAUAAGGGAUAUAUAUACAUAUAUAUAUAAGCAUGAUUUUGAGAGUUCAUGUAGUAUUUUUAAAUUUUUGUUUAGUUCACUAUGAAAUAUGUACUAUUAUAAAGUUCGAGAAUUAAAAAGCAUGAUGCGUAAAGUACAUACAGUAUUUUUGAAUUUUUGUUUAGUUCAGUAUAAAAUAUGUACCGCUGCAAAAUACAAAAACCAUUUCCCCGUCUUCAGCGGUGACGAAUUCUUGGGGCUCGACCUGCUUGGUUUCAAGCGCCGGUCCCAUGCUCAGUUUAUGCUUCGUUGUUUGUUUCUUUGAGAGUUCCUGGAAAAUCAUGUCAAGAAAUUUUAUUCUUAAUAGUAUCAUUUAAAAUAAAAACUAAUCUUUAUUUAUGGUAAUUAUAUAUCACAAUUUGUAAUAAUUACAUAUCGAUAUAAAUGUGUGAGAUUCUAAUUAUACUCCAAAAAGUAUAUAUGUUAGUCUUUGAAUAUACAAGGGUUGAAGAUUUAUUUUAAAUCAUCACUAAAUUAAAUUUUGUUGUAUGUUGUACGUGUAUUUUGGGUAACAAUUCUAUUUUCUUUUUAUUAAAAACAGUGACAUAUUUAAAGAAAAUAUGGUAAAAUUAAAAUGCACAAUUCAUGGUAGAAAAAUACAAAAUCCAACAGAAAGCUAUAAAAGUGAUUAAAUUUUGUAAACAAGGAUACGAAAUUGGCUUUAAGAUAUUAAUUGUUUUAAAAACAAAUAUAACUAAUACUUUAGGUAUAUAAACAGUAUUUCAUGUAUUUGAUUACCUUUUUGUUUUUAAUAUAGAAAUACUUUAGUUCGGAGUAUUUGAACAUAGAAAUACAUGAACUGUUUUAAGAUUAUUUAGAUACAAGUUUAGUUGUUUUAAUUUGGUUCUGGAAAAAAGUCCAUGCCUAGUCAUAUAUCUCAACCGAAGAUACUGAUCGUUCUAAGUCUAGAUUAUUAGAUACACGACAAUAUAUAUGAUUAUAGACCAAAUGUGAAAAAUAGACAUAGUAUUCCACAUGUAUUCUUGUGAAUUUAUUCUACACAAUAAAUCUUAGUGAACACAUUAUGGUCCAUCUUUUACUAUUUAGAUCCUUAGGUGGAGCAAAUUAAGGAGAGGCUCCAUUGAGUCCUCUAGCCAAGUAAUGCCUCACCAUGUCGGUCGUCGUGGUCUCGCUGUGCUUGGGAGGUUUUGUUUAGAAACAAGCUCUUUAAGAGUGGCAUAUACUUGCUCAUUUGGGAUUUUUCAGAAAUUGUGUUUAGAAAAAAAUCAAGAAUAUAUUUGCCUGUAAGAGAUCUCCGAGGUUAACGAUAAGAGCUUUCGGAUUAGGAGGAACAUCGAUCCAGCAUCCAUCAUGGAGAACUUGAAGACAUCCAUUAUGGUCUUGAAGAAGAAUAGUGAUAAAAGAUACAUAUGUGUGUGAACUUAUGCCAAAGGUUAGGUCAGGCUCAGGACAAGGCGGGGAGUAAUAAGAGAGCAAUGAUAAGCUUUGCGGUGUCCAGUUCUUUGAGGUGGCUAGGUUUUAAACCAAGAACUUCUGAUAAAAUUUCAAAGAUUAUCAUUUUGUGUACUCCAACAUGAUCUCUCUGAAAUAUUAAUCACGUACACUUCAUAAUUAGUAAUUUAUAUAUAGAAGAUUACCAUAAAACAAAAAUAAUUAUAUAUAGAAAAUAAGUCCUCAACUAAAUCAAAUAUCUUGUGUAGUCUUAAUUAAUUCUAUUAGAGCUAGAAAUGAACUAUAAAAAAUCAAUUAUAUUUCCACAUUAUUCAGAGUACUUUGGAACAAGAAUUUAUUUUUUGGAUUAAUUUGGAGACAUCCCAAAUCUACAGAAGAGCCAAAACUAAUCCUCUAAUGAAAGAUGUUGUUUACGGAUAGACCUUCUUGUCGGAUGUUCAAAUAAAAUCUAAAUCAUGGCCACAUAUCUGUGUGAUCACACAUAUUUAGUGUCGUAUGGUUGUUUCGAACCUGAGUCGCUUAACUCACAUGAAUUCGCCUACUACUUUUUUUAUGUGUGAUUAACAACAAUUUUUGCCUCUGUGGUAUAUAUAAUCUAUUAGCAAAUUCUUUUGUAAAUAUCCGUAAAUAAAAUGUAAAUUAAAUUCCAAUAUAUUUACUGUAUUUUGUUGUUAGGUUUUUAUUUAUAAUUUUUAUUAAAAGUGAUUUAAAUUUGGUACAAUAGUAGAAUGUCACGUUCUUAAAAUACAAUAUUUUAUUUUGAUUUAAGAAAACUUCCUAAAAUAGAAAAAUCGGGGUUUUAGAUUAUAAAUAAAUAUAUAAAAUUUUAUAAAUUAUUCUUCAUAUCACUAAUAAAAAUCUAGACAUUGGUAUUUUAUCUCAGUGGAGUAUUUCUCUGGUUUUUAGUUUUAUUCAAGUUUUAUUUUUACUCACAAACAAUAAUCAAUUUUGUUUUUUUUUUUUAAGAUUUGUUUUUAACUUGAACAGUUUAGCUCUCUAGCAUAAUAUAGCAGCAACUUGGGCUAAAUUGAAAUAAUACUUUUCCAAUUAAAAGCCAUAUGUAUGCGUGGACCUAUAAUUUAAAUGGAUUAUCCGAACACGAACCGAACCCAAACCUAACCCGCAAAGAUCCAAACCGAACCUGUACCAAAAUUUAGAAAUACCCGAAUGGAGCUGAAAUCUUUGACUCCGAAAAUCCGAAACCCUAAUAGAUCCGAACCGAACCCGAAUGGGUAUCCGAACGCCCACCCUAUAUCUAUAUAUCUUUCUAUCUAUCUAUCUAUAUUAUUAAAACCGAAGUACAUCUAGGAACUAACCCUUAAAACUACAGUUUAUUUACAUCUAAAUGCCACUGAAAUGAUAAUAAGUCUAACUUGAUUAUUUAUUAUCUUUUUUAAAAAAAAUUAAUUAAUAGUUUCCUAAAUCGAAUGUAAAAUAAGUAGAUAAUCAGUUUAGAUAUUUAAGGGAGUAGAUUCCGUUAUGCUUAAUUGCCAAGAAUAUAAUAACAAAAAAAUAAUAAUUGACACGUAGAUUUUAAAAUCUAACGCCCAUAAAGAGAGACGGAUAAUUUUUAAUCUCAAAUUUGAUUUAUUACUGGCUUCUAAAAAACUCAUAGAAUAUUUUGCUCGCAAAUAUUAGUCCUGUUCAUCGUCAAUUUGGGGUUAAUAUGUUGAGAACUUGCUAUAUGUUAUAUUUCAAUUAAAGUAACAUAUAGUUUACAGAGUUAGAGAAAAUCCAAUUCAUCAUUAUUUUAUAUGUUGAUUUCUUUCUGUUUUUCAAGUAGCAUGUUUUUAGAUCUUCACAAAAGAACUCUCCAAGUUGCAUGUUUUAACCUGCUAGAUCUUUAACCUGCUAGGUUUUUUUUGACAAAAAAAUGCACAGCACAACAGUUUUCUAACUAACCGAUAUAAGUUUAAUCGGGACCAACAUAAAUGAAUUCUUAAAUUUAUUGCGUUAAAGACCGACUUAUGUGUUUUAUUUGUACUUUUGUACCAAUUUAAUUCAUAUCUGAAUACAAAAAUCUUUAAGAAUAUUCCUUAUUUAUUAGAAAACAAAUCAAUCAAUUAUUUCUGAAUCCAAUUUCUUUCCUUUGAAGGAUUAUAUGCUACUGACUAUCUUUAUUUUUGACAUAAAAAUACUUUUUUAUAAAGAUAGAUUUAUUAGUAUACAUAAAAAAUGUUAUAUAUAUGAACUAUAAAUUUAUUGUGUUUAUUCAUAAUAUAUAUAAAGAUAGAUUUAUUAAUAUACAUAAAAAAUGUUAUAUAUACACAAUACAGUUGUGUAUUGUGUUUAAAAAUGUGUUUGGAAACACAAUACAGUUGUUAUUUUGGUUCAAAAAACAAACCAAAAUAAUUCAAUAUGAACUAUAAAUUUAUUGUGUUUUAAAAUGUUAUAUAAAAUAAUUAUUUUAAUACAGAUAAAUUUUAAUGUACAUAUUAUCAUUUUUAUAAAAUAAAAAUAAACAUCCGUACGGGCGUGCGGAUCAAGCUCUAAUAUACUAUUAUAUGAUGAUCGAUUUAGUAAUGGAAGAAUUUGUCAAAUAACCAAAUCUGGAGUGAAAAUUAGGUAAAUGUCAUUGAUUUUGACAUAAUAUAAUUUCUAAUAUUUGUGUCAUAAAAUAUCCGGUUAUAUCCGUUCUCUUUAUAGGUAGCAGGUAAAGGAGAGAGAGUGAGCUACGUGGUUGAUAAAACAUAAGGUCAAAAGCAUCCGAAAACUAUUGUACAUUAAAAAAGAAAAGCCAUCCACGUAUAAGUUUACUAAAUGUUGUGAAACUAAUGGAAAAGUCUAUCAUUAUUCAUAACAUAGAGGUUCUUUAUAUAGGAGAUUACACCGUCAUAGAUAAAUGGAAAGAUUACAAAUCAUAAUCUUUUGGUUAUGAACAAUUCACAAUCUGGUUCAUAACACUUAUUCGUUGGUGCUUUACAAGCUGGUUUAUAUAUGACUUAGUCAUUCUUUUUCGGGUCAGCAAAUGUGUCUGGCAUUUGAUUAGCUAGCUUUGUAAAUGUAUAAUCUUUGGACAUCUAUUUCACAUUCUUUAGUCUGAUGAAUCAUUCAUUCAUUUAAUCUAAGCAGACAAUGUAAUAGAUAUAAAUUCAAGGAGAUAUAAAUCAGAGAAAGCAUACAAGCAAAGGAAUCACACAAGUUUGUUGUUGAAAUCAGAUUAUCAACUUGAUUCUUUUAGGCAAUCAUAAGUCUCAUACUCCAUAAGAUCAUCUUGAUCAUGUUCGAAAUUAUUUUCACCAUCUUUAUAGACUAAGUGGGUUUCAGGAUUUUUCCCUUUCAGACUCUCUUGGGAGUCCUUCAUAUCUUAGUCCAAUGGUUUCCCAUUCCACAUCUAUGGCACACUGAUUUGGUCGAGCUUUGUGGUUUAAAGGAUAUACCACGGCCACUGCCUUGACCAUGGCUCAAAUUGGGUUGAUACCCACGACCUCUGCCAUAGUGAUUCCCACAGCCAAAUUUGUUAUAGUGGUCAUGGCCACGUCCUUUCCACCCUCCACGGCCAUGGCCGUGUGGUCUAUCAUUCUAGACGUAGUUACCCUUUUUUUUCUGCGGCCUUAUUGGUAUCAGGUAAUGGGGUUAAUCCAAGAGGUCUCAAUUCACUGUUUCCUAUCAGUAAUCCAUUAUUUUGCCCAGCUAGCAAUAGACUCAUCCACGGACUUAUAGUCCUGGAUUCUGGGAUUCUUCCAAUCAAAUAGGGCUUUUGGUAAUAACACCGUUCUUUGGUGAUCAUAUCUCGAUUUUCUUAACUCUGUCCAAUGGCCUAGAGGAUUCUCUAUAGUCAGAUAUUGAUCUUUGAGACUCUUAAUAAGAUGAUGGCUAAUAAUUAAUAUUACCCUGUAUCAAUCUUUCUCAUUUGGCAUUAUCGCCUUUGUGAUUAAUUCACCAAGUCUUUUGACUUUAGGAUAAACUCAGUAUCCAGUGCUCAUUUCAAAUAAUUAUCUCCUGAGAGAUUUAGGGCAGCAAAAUUCAAGUUGAUUUUCGACAUCUCAAAUCAUAUCAAUCAAUUUUAGAUCUCAUAAAAUAUUUAACAUACGGCCAUAAACAAGACAUGCUAUCAAGUCAAUACAUUUCUAAUAAGCAAAAAAGCCACACGGCCAAAGGUGAUAUAAUGCAAUAAUAAGUCACACAGAUUUAUCAAGCAAGGGUAUCGACCAAACAAGCAAUUUCUAUAUGUUUUCAUGUGGCCAUACGGUUAUAAUGCAAACCUAGCAUACUGAUUCUAUAUGUACAGGAGUGAAAUUAUGAAACCUCAAUUUAAAACAAUCAGAUCAUGCAAAGGUGAUAAUAAUCAGAUCAUGCACAUAACAUAAACAUGUUGGUCAGGAUGAUAUAUGAUGAAAACUGGCCACACGGCCAAGUAGAUAUGAUGCACUCAUUCUUAGCAAUCGGAUUCUAUAUGUGCAAGGGUAAUAUUAAAACAUUCAAUCAAGGUUUAGCAAUUAAUCAAUCAGUUUCAGGUAUGAGAUUUAGCUAGACUAACAAUCAGAUUCAAUUAGGUUUUAUCAAGACUAGCAAUUGGAUCAAUAAUCAAAAAUAAUCAAACGGAUUCAAGCAUUACACAAUUUAGAGUUUCGAUCCAAAAAUAGGGUUUCAAUCAUGAAAAACCAAAACAAUCAGUUUCAAGGCUGAUUCUAUCAAUUUUGUUAAUCAGUUUCAAGGCUGAUAUUUAUCAGUUUCAAAGCUGAUAUUAGCAAGAUGGAAUCAAGCAAUCUGAUUUUAGGAAUACGCAAAUUAUGGUUUAUGGUUUCAAUUCGAAAUUAGAGUUUUAUCAAUCAAUCAGCUUCUAGCAAAUAAUCUUAAACCUUUGAUGGGUUGAAUGAACCACCAAGAGAAUGAGCUUACGUGGACUGGUACAAACUGAAACCUUACGCGGACUGGUCCAAACUGUUUGGUCCAAACUGUUUCCUUGCAGUCUGCGAGCUGAGAUCGGGUACAAGUUGAGAUCGAAAGUGAUUAGGGUUUAUCGAUAGAGAGAGAGAGAUCGAUGGAGAUUCAGAUAGAGAUCAAAAACUUAGCUUCGGUUGAGCUGAUCGGGAUCGUUGGUACGCGAGCUGGUACUUGCAAUCAAAGAACUCAUAGAUCUGGAACAGUUUGAUCAUGGACUGGAACAGGCUGAUCGUACAAUCUGGAAUAGUUGAGGCGUACUAAAACUUGCAGAGAUCAGUCCACGGAUCGAUCUUGUUGAGAUCAGUGGUCGAAUACAGAUCAGGGUCAUGAUCAAAGAGAGAGGUGAACGAUAGAGAUUAGGAUUUUAGCAAUGGAUAGAGAUUUAGGGUUUAUGGUCGAUUUUUUAGCUUAGGGUUUUAGAGAUCAAUCGUGCUGAUAACGUGUUGUGAAAGUAAUGGAAAAGUCUAUCAUUAUUCAUAACAUAGAGGUUCCUUAUAUAGGAUAUUACACCGUCAUAGGUAAAUGGAAAGAUUACAAAUCAUAAUCUCUUGGUUAUGAGCCAUUCACAAUCUGGUUCAUAACACUAAACAAAUAUAUAUACAUUAAUUGUUCUAUUCCAUAUCACCGAAGUAGUAUAAGACUAUAAUUUCACAUACAACCUCUAAAUACUAAACAUACCCCAACCCCUAUAUACUAAACCCUAAAUGUUAAUUAUUGAACCCUAAACCCAAAUAUAAACCCAAUUAUUAAAAUCUGAAAAUAGUAUAUAAUAUUAUGUAAUAUUAAACUAAACUCAUAUCUAACUUUUGAAUAAUAUAGGGCUCUAACCCAACCCACAAAUCCUAAAUGCUAAACCCAAACCUAACUUUUGAAUAUUAAACCCUAAACUGCUAUCACUAAAGCCAAACCUCAACCACCACCUUCUAAAUACUAAACCCUAAAUUCUAAUAACUAAACCUUAAACUCAAAUAUAGACCCUAAACCCAAAUAGAAUAGAACAAAAUAUAUAGUAUAGUCCAUAUUGGUGAACAAAAUAGAACAUUUUUUAUUAAUCGUCAAAUGUAAAGAUAUAUGAUAGGUCACUAAACCCAAACCUCAACCCUCAACUUCCAAAUACGAAACCCUAAAUCUUAAUCACUAAACUCCAACCCAAGUAUAAACUCUAAACCCAAAUAUAAUAGAAAAAAAGACAUAGUAUAGUACAUAUUGGUGAACAAAAUAAUACAUUUUUUAUUAAUUGUCAAAUGGAAGGAUACAUGAUAAAAAAAUAUAGUAACAGACUAUUUCGCAUCACAUAACAUGAAUAGAACAUUCAUAAUACAUAUUGGUCAUUUUUAUUCUAUACACAUAUAAUAUAAUAGAACACAGUGUUACAAGUACUGUCCAUCUUCUCUGAUCAAUUUUAGAUCAUUCACAGCGAUAAAGAUAAGUGUAACUGGCGAAAUCAGUGGGAAUAGUACAUGUAACCGCCUAGUAAACCGAAGAGAUUACGGUGAUUGAAAGAAAAGUUGAUGAACCUCGCGGCGGCGCCGUUUACGUUGUGGCGAUUCCAUAGAUUUCAGAUGUGCGAAGCUUUCCGUCAGUAGCCAAGUGAGCCGUUGCAUAUGGGCAUCUCAUUGGCAAACCUACUCCAUAAAUGGUCUUGGUGGUUACACAAUGGAUCAAUAAUGGAGAAGAAACCACUCACGUUCUACAAGCUAUAUGAUUUUCCAAAGACCACGAUAUACGUGUGUUAGGGAAUUAUUAUUAAUUUAGUUUUUUUUGUUUACAGGUUUUACCGGUUGUGUAAAAGGGAAUAUAAAAGAUACACAGUGUAUUCACUACAAGAAAACAACGGUAUUCUGACGGACAUUCCGACGGAAAAUGAAAUCCUCGGAAUAUCCCGAGAAAUUUCCGAGGAAACACAAAAUUUGGUUUCCUAGGAAUUUCCUCGGAAUAUACAAUUCCGAGGAAAUAUUAAUCCGUCGAAAUAUUCUUAUGGAAUACCGAGGAAAACUGUAUUCCUCGGAAAAAACCGACGAAUUGCGAGGAUAUAUUAUAGCCGUUAGAGAGCCGUUGGGGGAUUUUAAAAAUUUCGAGGAAAUUCCGACGAACUAGCAGUUGGUGUCGGAAUUCCGUCGGAAUUUCCUCGGUCUGUCGGCAGGAUUUCAACUAUAAAUACAAGCACCCCUCUUCCUCUUCAUUCACUCCAUAUCUUCAUCCUCCCUCUUACUCUCUUUACACACUAAUUUGAUUCAUAACUGCACCUUUCUUUUGUUUCCGAGGAUUCUUAUCUUUUGGAACCUAUUUGGUCUACCACGUUUCAUACGUUGUCUAGACUCUGUAGCAACUUGACUGUGUCUCUUCUUGGACAUCAAAUUCGUUGGUGCUUUACAAGCUGGUUUAUAUAUGACUUAGUCAUUCUUUUUCGGGUCAGCAAAUGUGUCUGGCAUUUGAUUAGCUAGCUUUGUAAAUGUAUAAUCUUUGGACAUCUAUUUCACAUUCUUUAGUCUGAUGAAUCAUUCAUUCAUUUAAUCUAAGCAGACAAUGUAAUAGAUAUAAAUUCAAGGAGAUAUAAAUCAGAGAAAGCAUACAAGCAAAGGAAUCACACAAGUUUGAUGUCGAAAUCAGAUUAUCAACUUGAUUCUUUUAGGCAAUCAUAAGUCUCAUACUCCAUAAGAUCAUCUUGAUCAUGUUCGAAAUUAUUUUCACCAUCUUUAUAGACUAAGUGGGUUUCAGGAUUUUUCCCUUUCAGACUCUCUUGGGAGUCCUUCAUAUCUUAGUCCAAUGGUUUCCCAUUCCACAUCUAUGGCACACUGAUUUGGUCGAGCUUUGUGGUUUAAAGGAUAUACCACGGCCACUGCCUUGACCAUGGCUCAAAUUGGGUUGAUACCCACGACCUCUGCCAUAGUGAUUCCCACAGCCAAAUUUGUUAUAGUGGUCAUGGCCACGUCCUUUCCACCCUCCACGGCCAUGGCCGUGUGGUCUAUCAUUCUAGACGUAGUUACCCUUUUUUUUCUGCGGCCUUAUUGGUAUCAGGUAAUGGGGUUAAUCCAAGAGGUCUCAAUUCACUGUUUCCUAUCAGUAAUCCAUUAUUUUGCCCAGCUAGCAAUAGACUCAUCCACGGACUUAUAGUCCUGGAUUCUGGGAUUCUUCCAAUCAAAUAGGGCUUUUGGUAAUAACACCGUUCUUUGGUGAUCAUAUCUCGAUUUUCUUAACUCUGUCCAAUGGCAGACUAGCAAUUGGAUCAAUAAUCAAAAAUAAUCAAACGGAUUCAAGCAUUACACAAUUUAGAGUUUCGAUCCAAAAAUAGGGUUUCAAUCAUGAAAAACCAAAACAAUCAGUUUCAAGGCUGAUUCUAUCAAUUUUGUUAAUCAGUUUCAAGGCUGAUAUUUAUCAGUUUCAAAGCUGAUAUUAGCAAGAUGGAAUCAAGCAAUCUGAUUUUAGGAAUACGCAAAUUAUGGUUUAUGGUUUCAAUUCGAAAUUAGAGUUUUAUCAAUCAAUCAGCUUCUAGCAAAUAAUCUUAAACCUUUGAUGGGUUGAAUGAACCACCAAGAGAAUGAGCUUACGUGGACUGGUACAAACUGAAACCUUACGCGGACUGGUCCAAACUGUUUGGUCCAAACUGUUUCCUUGCAGUCUGCGAGCUGAGAUCGGGUACAAGUUGAGAUCGAAAGUGAUUAGGGUUUAUCGAUAGAGAGAGAGAGAUCGAUGGAGAUUCAGAUAGAGAUCAAAAACUUAGCUUCGGUUGAGCUGAUCGGGAUCGUUGGUACGCGAGCUGGUACUUGCAAUCAAAGAACUCAUAGAUCUGGAACAGUUUGAUCAUGGACUGGAACAGGCUGAUCGUACAAUCUGGAAUAGUUGAGGCGUACUAAAACUUGCAGAGAUCAGUCCACGGAUCGAUCUUGUUGAGAUCAGUGGUCGAAUACAGAUCAGGGUCAUGAUCAAAGAGAGAGGUGAACGAUAGAGAUUAGGAUUUUAGCAAUGGAUAGAGAUUUAGGGUUUAUGGUCGAUUUUUUAGCUUAGGGUUUUAGAGAUCAAUCGUGCUGAUAACGUGUUGUGAAAGUAAUGGAAAAGUCUAUCAUUAUUCAUAACAUAGAGGUUCCUUAUAUAGGAUAUUACACCGUCAUAGGUAAAUGGAAAGAUUACAAAUCAUAAUCUCUUGGUUAUGAGCCAUUCACAAUCUGGUUCAUAACACUAAACAAAUAUAUAUACAUUAAUUGUUCUAUUCCAUAUCACCGAAGUAGUAUAAGACUAUAAUUUCACAUACAACCUCUAAAUACUAAACAUACCCCAACCCCUAUAUACUAAACCCUAAAUGUUAAUUAUUGAACCCUAAACCCAAAUAUAAACCCAAUUAUUAAAAUCUGAAAAUAGUAUAUAAUAUUAUGUAAUAUUAAACUAAACUCAUAUCUAACUUUUGAAUAAUAUAGGGCUCUAACCCAACCCACAAAUCCUAAAUGCUAAACCCAAACCUAACUUUUGAAUAUUAAACCCUAAACUGCUAUCACUAAAGCCAAACCUCAACCACCACCUUCUAAAUACUAAACCCUAAAUUCUAAUAACUAAACCUUAAACUCAAAUAUAGACCCUAAACCCAAAUAGAAUAGAACAAAAUAUAUAGUAUAGUCCAUAUUGGUGAACAAAAUAGAACAUUUUUUAUUAAUCGUCAAAUGUAAAGAUAUAUGAUAGGUCACUAAACCCAAACCUCAACCCUCAACUUCCAAAUACGAAACCCUAAAUCUUAAUCACUAAACUCCAACCCAAGUAUAAACUCUAAACCCAAAUAUAAUAGAAAAAAAGACAUAGUAUAGUACAUAUUGGUGAACAAAAUAAUACAUUUUUUAUUAAUUGUCAAAUGGAAGGAUACAUGAUAAAAAAAUAUAGUAACAGACUAUUUCGCAUCACAUAACAUGAAUAGAACAUUCAUAAUACAUAUUGGUCAUUUUUAUUCUAUACACAUAUAAUAUAAUAGAACACAGUGUUACAAGUACUGUCCAUCUUCUCUGAUCAAUUUUAGAUCAUUCACAGCGAUAAAGAUAAGUGUAACUGGCGAAAUCAGUGGGAAUAGUACAUGUAACCGCCUAGUAAACCGAAGAGAUUACGGUGAUUGAAAGAAAAGUUGAUGAACCUCGCGGCGGCGCCGUUUACGUUGUGGCGAUUCCAUAGAUUUCAGAUGUGCGAAGCUUUCCGUCAGUAGCCAAGUGAGCCGUUGCAUAUGGGCAUCUCAUUGGCAAACCUACUCCAUAAAUGGUCUUGGUGGUUACACAAUGGAUCAAUAAUGGAGAAGAAACCACUCACGUUCUACAAGCUAUAUGAUUUUCCAAAGACCACGAUAUACGUGUGUUAGGGAAUUAUUAUUAAUUUAGUUUUUUUUGUUUACAGGUUUUACCGGUUGUGUAAAAGGGAAUAUAAAAGAUACACAGUGUAUUCACUACAAGAAAACAACGGUAUUCUGACGGACAUUCCGACGGAAAAUGAAAUCCUCGGAAUAUCCCGAGAAAUUUCCGAGGAAACACAAAAUUUGGUUUCCUAGGAAUUUCCUCGGAAUAUACAAUUCCGAGGAAAUAUUAAUCCGUCGAAAUAUUCUUAUGGAAUACCGAGGAAAACUGUAUUCCUCGGAAAAAACCGACGAAUUGCGAGGAUAUAUUAUAGCCGUUAGAGAGCCGUUGGGGGAUUUUAAAAAUUUCGAGGAAAUUCCGACGAACUAGCAGUUGGUGUCGGAAUUCCGUCGGAAUUUCCUCGGUCUGUCGGCAGGAUUUCAACUAUAAAUACAAGCACCCCUCUUCCUCUUCAUUCACUCCAUAUCUUCAUCCUCCCUCUUACUCUCUUUACACACUAAUUUGAUUCAUAAAAAACAUGUCUUCUUCAAAUUAUUUUCGUUCUUGGAUCGAUCGACCUCAUUUGGAUCCGAACACGAGAUUGCUUACGGAAGAAUACCAACGAGGUAUAACCGAAUUCAUGGGGUUAGUUCACCGACAACCGGAAGCAAAAACAGGUAUGUUAAGAUGUCCUUGCUCUAAUUGUAAAAAUAGAAAGGUUAUUAAAGAGUGGGAUGUUUGGACUCAUCUAUAUUUGAGUGGGUUUACACGAAGUUACAAAAUUUGGUAUCAUCAUGGGGAAACUGAUUAUGAACAUGGUAGUACUAGCGAACCUCAGCCAGCGGUUAGAUUAGAAGAACCAAUUAGAACGGAUGUAGAUUAUGGUGUAGGUACUGAGCAGAUGGUAAAUGAUCAUUUUAGAGGGGAAGAUUUACCCAAUGCAGAAGCUAGGAGAUUUUAUGAUAUGUUGGAUGCUGGAAAGCAACCAUUGUACGAAGGUUGCAGAGAUGGUCAUUCAGCUUUAUCAUCUGCUACAAGAUUGAUGGGCAUUAAAACAGAUUAUAAUUUGGCUGAAGACUGUGUGGAUGCGAUUGCUGAUUUUGUAAAAGGUAUUCUACCCGAGGAUAAUGUAGCUCCUGGUUCAUACUACGAGGUUCAGAAACUCGUAGCUGGUCUUGGUUUAUCGUAUCAGGUAAUAGAUGUAUGCAGCGACAACUGCAUGAUUUAUUGGAGGGCGGAUGAACAGCGGGUUACAUGCAAAUUUUGUGGAAAGCCUCGUUAUAAAGAUACGAGUGGAAGAGUUCCAGUGCCAUAUAAAAGGAUGUGGUAUUUACCUUUGACGGAAAGGUUGCAGAGGUUGUAUCUGUCUGAACGCACAGCGCAACCAAUGAGAUGGCAUGCGGAGCACUCAACAGAUGGUGAGAUCAGACAUCCUUCAGAUGCAAAAGCGUGGAAGCAUUUCCAAUCAAAGUAUCCCGACUUUGCGUAUGAGAGAAGAAAUGUCUACCUUGGAUUAUGUACUGAUGGUUUCAGUCCGUUUGGCAAGAGUGGAAGACAGUAUUCUCUAUGGCCCGUCAUUCUUACACCAUACAACCUACCCCCAAACUUGUGCUUGCGACGAGAGUUUUUGUUUCUCUCGAUUCUCGUUCCCGGACCAGAGCAUCCUAAGAGAUCACUUGAUGUGUUUCUUCAGCCACUAAUAUAUGAGUUGCAACAACUAUGGGCUCAAGGUGCUGAAACAUACGAUGUUUCGUGUAAAGAAAACUUUCAAAUGCGGGCAGUACUAAUGUGGACAAUAAGUGAUUUUCCAGCAUAUGGUAUGUUGUCUGGAUGGACAACGCAUGGAAGGCUAUCAUGUCCAUAUUGUCAAGAUAACACUGAUGCUUUCCAACUAAAACACGGAAGGAAAACGUGUUGGUUUGACUGUCACAGGAGAUUCCUACCACCUGAUCAUCCAUAUCGUAGGAGUAGGAAUUUGUUUACGAAGAACAAGAGGGUGUUUGACAGUCCACCUCCGGAAAUUUGUGGGAAAGAUUUGAAGAUACAACUAAGAGAUUUUGGUGCAGAAAGGACGCCAGAAGUCGGUGGACAUGAGCGUUUUCCGGUAGAUGCUGUUGGAGAACUACAUAACUGGCACAAAAAAAGUAUUUUCUGGGAUCUGCCAUACUGGGAGGAUCAUCUGCUAAGGCAUAAUUUAGAUGUCAUGCAUAUUGAGAAGAACUUUUUUGACAAUCUCAUGAACACGAUCCUUAAUGUUCAAGGUAAAACAAAGGAUAAUUUGAAGUCAAGACUGGAUUUAGUCGAUAUAUGUGCUCGUUCAGAACUUCAUGUUGAUGAGAAUGGUAGGGCUCCUUUUCCCAUAUACCGACUUGAUGCAGCGGGAAAAGAUGCGUUCUUUGAUUGGAUUUCAAACGAUGUGGAAUUUCCAGACGGUUACGCAUCAAAUUUGCGUAACUGUAUCGACAGAAAGGAAGGAAAGUUUACUGGCUUGAAAAGCCACGAUUGCCAUGUAAUGAUGCAGCGCCUCCUUCCGUUCGCCUUCAAGGAACUAUUACCACGAAAUGUUCAUGAAGCAAUUGCAGGGAUAAGUGGUUUCUUCCGCGAUUUAUGCACGAGAUCAGUGACUCUUGAAGGUAUUGAAAAUUUGAAGACUAACAUAGCCGUGAUUCAGUGCAACCUUGAGAAGAUAUUUCCUCCCUCAUUUUUUGAUGUUAUGGAGCAUCUUGUUAUUCACCUGGCAAGAGAAUUGGAACUUGGUGGUCCUGUGCAGUAUAGAUGGAUGUAUCUGUAUGAGCGGUAUAUGUUCCAUUUGAAGAAGAUGGUGAAAAAUUUAAGUAGGGUGGAAGGUUCUAUAGUCGCACAGAUGAUCAAUGAAGAAACUUCAAACUUUGCCGAGUACUACUUUCCAGCAGAAGUUCAGACCAAAAACAGAAGACCUGCUCGGCAUGAUGAUAGAGGCGAACGGGCAACAUAUCAUGUUACGGUUCCAGACAUUUUCACAGACGUUGGACGACUUAGCGGAAAACCAAAGGACCGUCGACUUACUGAGCAGGAGCGCAGUAAUUUGCAAACAUAUUUGCUCACCAACUGCGAAGAUGUUCUUCAAUAUGAGAGGUAAAUAAAUUAGCUUACAAAUUUUUAUUUUAACAAGUUGAAAUUUAAAUCUUAAUUAAUUACAUUAUUGUCAUCAUAUGUACAGGAUUUUCAUGGCAGAAAAGAGGUUCGAAUAUAGAUACGCCACAGAGGACGAACUAGAAGAAAUUAAGCAGAGAGAAUUUUCUGGAUGGAUGUUUACUUAUGUGAGUGCUUUAAACAAAUUAAAAUAUCAGCUAUCACAUAUUUAUACUAAUUCACAUUUAUUGACAUAAUAUAUAUAUGUGCUAUUAAUAUAGGUAUCUGCUGGUUUGGCCAGAGGUGAAACAUUUGACGAUUGGAUACGCGAGAUGGUCGUUGGACCAAAAUUUGUUGUGAAGUCAUAUCCGAGAUUUUGUACUCGAGGAUAUGCAUUCACAACUCAGAAGAGGAGACGUUCGAGUACGACUUAUGAUGCUGGCGUUUGUUCUGCAUCAGGAGAUGAUGUAUACUACGGACACAUACAUGAGAUUUUGGAAAUCAAGUAUUUGGGCAUGGUUGGAUUGCGCUGUACUGUUUUCUAUUGUGAUUGGCACGACAACACUCUAGAUCGAGGUGUGAGAACAGAUGCAUUUGGUGUUACCUCAGUAAAUUCGAGGUGAAAGCUGCAAUAUUAUGAUCUCUGGCGGCUCCUCUCCCUCCUCUCCGGCGAUCUCCCCCUUCUCCCCGACGAUAUCUCCGGCGAUCUCCCCCUUCUCUUACACAAAUCAUGUAAGGACCCUAUCUCAGUCUCUUAGGUUCUAUUUGUUAGGUUUUUGUGUAGAUUUGAUAGAUUUUUGUUAGGAUGAUUGGUUAGGAUUGUGAUUUGGUUGUAUAAUAGGUUUAGAAUUGUGAUUUGGUUGAAUAAUUUGUUUUGUUGAAUUGAUUUAGAAUUUUUUUAUAAUUUUUUAAUUUUUUGUGUAGUUUUGGUAGAUUUUUGUUAGGGUGAUUGGUUAGGAUUGUGAUUUGGUUGUAUAAUAGGUUUAGAAUUGUGAUUUGGUUGAAUAAUUUGUUUUGUUGAAUUGAUUUAGAAUUUUUUUAUAAUUUUUUUNNNNNNNNNNNNNNNNNNNNNNNNNNNNNNNNNNNNNNNNNNNNNNNNNNNNNNNNNNNNNNNNNNNNNNNNNNNNNNNNNNNNNNNNNNNNNNNNNNNNNNNNNNNNNNNNNNNNNNNNNNNNNNNNNNNNNNNNNNNNNNNNNNNNNNNNNNNNNNNNNNNNNNNNNNNNNNNNNNNNNNNNNNNNNNNNNNNNNNNNNNNNNNNNNNNNNNNNNNNNNNNNNNNNNNNNNNNNNNNNNNNNNNNNNNNNNNNNNNNNNNNNNNNNNNNNNNNNNNNNNNNNNNNNNNNNNNNNNNNNNNNNNNNNNNNNNNNNNNNNNNNNNNNNNNNNNNNNNNNNNNNNNNNNNNNNNNNNNNNNNNNNNNNNNNNNNNNNNNNNNNNNNNNNNNNNNNNNNNNNNNNNNNNNNNNNNNNNNNNNNNNNNNNNNNNNNNNNNNNNNNNNNNNNNNNNNNNNNNNNNNNNNNNNNNNNNNNNNNNNNNNNNNNNNNNNNNNNNNNNNNNNNNNNNNNNNNNNNNNNNNNNNNNNNNNNNNNNNNNNNNNNNNNNNNNNNNNNNNNNNNNNNNNNNNNNNNNNNNNNNNNNNNNNNNNNNNNNNNNNNNNNNNNNNNNNNNNNNNNNNNNNNNNNNNNNNNNNNNNNNNNNNNNNNNNNNNNNNNNNNNNNNNNNNNNNNNNNNNNNNNNNNNNNNNNNNNNNNNNNNNNNNNNNNNNNNNNNNNNNNNNNNNNNNNNNNNNNNNNNNNNNNNNNNNNNNNNNNNNNNNNNNNNNNNNNNNNNNNNNNNNNNNNNNNNNNNNNNNNNNNNNNNNNNNNNNNNNNNNNNNNNNNNNNNNNNNNNNNNNNNNNNNNNNNNNNNNNNNNNNNNNNNNNNNNNNNNNNNNNNNNNNNNNNNNNNNNNNNNNNNNNNNNNNNNNNNNNNNNNNNNNNNNNNNNNNNNNNNNNNNNNNNNNNNNNNNNNNNNNNNNNNNNNNNNNNNNNUGCUCAAUCUAUUGCCUCUCUGGGAGAUCGCAUGGUAAGUUCAGCCGCUUUUUCUUCAAUUAUUUAAGUUUUGAAUUUUUUUUUUUUUGCAUUUCUUCUAAUUUCUAAUGUUUGUUUAAUUUAUUUUUUUUCAAGGCGGAAGAAAAUGAAGGCGAGCCGGUUGAUGAUCUCGCCCUCAUGAAGAGGGCGUAUACCAACAAGAAUACCGGCCAGAUUGAUGACAUCCCUGUGAGGAAAGUGGUCACCCUAGUCCAAACUCAGGUGCAAGACGAAGUGUCUCAACUUCAAACCGAGGAUGACACUUCGACGGCUUCGACCAACUUGUCCCGGUUUCGAAUCAACGAAAUCGUUGAAUCCGUAAGUUCUUUUUUUUAAAGUUCAAUUCAUUUAUUUCUUGAUUUAAAUUUGGCUAUUUUCUAUUUCAGUUGGUUCCAAAGAAGAAGGGACGUUUGAUCGGUUUGGGUCGUCGCACCCGGUCGGUUCCUCCUUCUUCUGCACCACCGCCCUUUGUUGAUCCAGAAGUACUUACGGCUCAGUUGAAGGACAAUGAUCGCAUAUGAGGCACAGAGGAGGUUGAACCAGUAAAUGAUAGAGAUGAUGCAGAGGAUGUACCCGAACGAGGUGUUCCCGAACGUGCCAGACCCGUAGUUUUUUUUUUUCAAAAACUCGGAAUGUUUUAUUUUUAUUUGCACAACUUUGAAUAUUAUCUAAUAUGUUUUCAAUUUUAAUUUUAAUUUUUUAUUUUCGAAUUUAAAUUUCAAAACUUUUAUUUUUUUAAAAAAAAUAAUUUUUUCUUAAAAUUCCGAGGAAAUGAACUCUCGGAAUAUACCGAGGGAAAUGUUCCUCGGAAUAUUCAGAGGGACUCGUUCCUCGGAAUUUUCCGAGGGACUCGUUCCUCGGAAUUUUCCGAGGGCUCAGUUCCUCGGAAAUUCCCGAUGACAAUUCCGAGGAACAUUUCGUCGGAACUUCCGAGGAUUGUACCAUCGGAAAAUCCAUCGAAAUAUCCCGAGGAAGUUUUCCUUCGGUAUAUUCCGAGGAGCUUUCCGAAGAACUGGUGGUCCUCGGAGUUUCCUGUCCAUGGCGGCGGCAGUGUGUGAGCUUAAGGGGUUGAAACGGCUCUUCACUACAAGAAAACAGCGAGAUACGGAGGGAAAAUUUCGUCGGUAUGUCGUCGGAAUAACUUUAUUCCGACGACAUACCGACGAUUUUUUCCCUCAGUAUCUCGUUGUUUUCUUGUAGUGAUUGGUGUAUUAGGGUAUUUAGACAUACAAUGAAUUAUAAUUUGUUUGAUGGUUAUGGAGCCCAAAUUCCCUUUAGUAAUCAAAUCUUUGUAAUAUCUUCCAAAAAUGAAUGUUGUUUUAGGCAUACAUCAUAAGCCGGAACGAAAAGAGAGUGAAAUAUCAAUAUUCUCAUUGAAAACUUCUAACAUGAUAAUAGACGGUAAUAUCAAAUUAGAUCAAACGUGAAAUAAACAUUUUAUUGGAACUACAACAUGUAGUUUAUUCUUUUUCUCAAACGUUAAAAAAAAAAACACAUGUAGUAACUUCAGAAACCAUAUUUUGUAUGUGUGUGUACUAAAAUAUUAUUGGAAACACAAAGGAAACAACAAUAUAGAUUCAGAUCAGGUUCAGCCAUUUUGUUCAGAUCCUUAAAUGGCUCAACGAAUUGUUCCCAUCACGUUUUCUAGCCACAUAGUGGUUGGAGGCUUCCGAAGUGGUUUCCCUGUACUUGGGAGGGUUUUCUUCUGACAAAAGCUCUUUAAUGGGUCCAUAAACUCUCGGACUUGUUGAAGGAGGAUGCACAAAGAAAGAUGCAACCGAAGUGCGUGGCUUUUUACCUCCAUUUGCCAAAACUCUAUGCUCCACACUCACAAACUUGUCAUUCGUCAUAAGCUGCAAAAAAAAAAACACUAUGAAGACCUUGUUUUCUUACUAAUUAUGGACCGUUUGAUUAUGAGUAAACAACAACUUGCCUGUAGGAGAUCUCCAACAUUAAGGAUAAGAGCAUUAGGAUUAGGAGGAACAUCGAUCCAGUAUCCAUCAUGGAGAACUUGAAGUCCUCCAAUAUGGUCUUGAAGAAGUAUAGUGAUGAAAGAUCUGUCUGUAUGCUGAGUGGCGCCGACCGUUAGGUCUGGCUGAGGACACGGCGGGUGACAAUGACAGAGCAUCAACAAGCCUUUUGCACAAUCCAUUUCUUUGAGGUGGUUAGGCUUCAGCCCUAAGGAUUCUGAUAUGAGCUCAAAUAUUAACUCCCCAAACAUCAUCACUCUCUUUGAGUAGUCCAACAUGAUCUCCCUAAAACAUUGAACAUAAAUAAACUCUCAAAACCCAUCAAACAAAAAUAUUAAGUUAGUCCAAAGAUUAAUUUAAAACAAGAGAAGCCGUGUUCGUACCUACAAAUGUCUGGUAACUCAUCGGUUUUGGGAACAUCAGGGAACAUAAAACAACUUAAGGUAUCUCUCCAGCUCGCAGCAGGAGCGUCAUAGAGAUCAGAGUUCGUGUUAUACUAAUCGCUUUGGUUUUUUCACGGCUAUAGAACCUUUUCCUCGCUUCUGGAUCUUGCUCGUGAAACGCACGGAUCCCUUCUUUCAUCUUCUCCAUGACCUCGAGUGGAAUCCCAUGGUUGAUCGCCUGGAAGAAACCGAACUUAUCCAUGGCGUCUUUAACCUUCUUAGCCACUUCCUUUCUUGUGACCGUGGACUCGAACACGCCACCUCCGAGAUCUAUUGUUGGGAUUGUCAACGUAGAAGGAGGUUUAGCGUUAGUUACCGUGGCUUGCGGGUUAUGGAACAUGAGUGGAAUUUUUGUGAUUCCAGCGUCGACGAGACCCUUCACGCCGAUUUUCAUCUCGUCGAAUGCUUGUACCUCGCCGGCACGGUUAAAUGUUCCCACCAUUGUACACUUGGACUCCAACCUUUUUUUUAGUGCUUUAUGAAACAGGGAAACUUGUGUUUUGAGUCACCUAGCUCUGUCUCUAUAUAUAAGGAGGGAAAACUGGUGAAGGCAUGAAAUAGAGCGCUAAGAGAAGGAGAUAUAUUGAGAUACCGUCUGUAUUAUUAAUAUCAUAAAAGAUAUUAUCAAUUUUAUAUCAUAUUAUUAAAAAUUAUUAUCAUAUCAUCGAGAUGUGUAUCUUUUAGGUUAUGAACGGAAACCAUAGUGCGGUGCAUAUUUGGAAUUGAUAUCCUUUUGAAGUUACAAAUGUCAGCAACCAUAGUGCGGUGCAUAUUUGGAAUUGAUGUGAUUUUAAAAUUAUAAGUGUCAGCAGUAACAAGUAAAAAUGCUAUCUCAAGAAUGUGUUUUACAAAAUAACUAGCUUAAAGACUGGCGCAAUUGCGCGGGAUAAAAGUUAUAUAUAAAACUAAUUUUUAUCUAUUAUUAUUUAUUGUAUUUAUUUACGUAUUAAGUAUACAACUAAAUUAGAGUAAAUACAUAAAUCAAAACAAUACAUCUUAUUUAUUUACGAUAUUGUUUUGGUAAAUAAAUCAAAACAAUCAUUUUAUUUAUUUAUAUGGUAUGUAACUAAAUUUUAAUGACAUGGACAUAGAUAUAUAGUAUAUUCUAAUGUGCUAUUUUUUGAAUGGACAUUUCAAAAUUAAAAUAUUAAGGUUUCAAUACUUUUUCAAUACAAAUUUAGAAAGUAUCAUAUUUAAGUAUUUUUCUAUGUUAUAUAGUUCAAUUUUAGAAAAUUAGGAGCUAUACCAAAAGAUUUUUACGUAUUUAGUGAUAUACCCAUUGAAUCAAAACUGUCACUGUUCGAAGUGCUUUUUUACUCUGCUACCCCUACAGCACAAACAUCUCAUUAUCCGCUAAAAUCGUAGACCAAAUCUUCUAUUUGGAUACGAAAAGAUCUAUCACUCUGUCACGUUAUUCUCUUCUGUAUCUUUUGUCAGGUUGCAUUUCAUUUCACUGCAGUACGAUAGAAUUAAAAAAAACGAAAAUUUAAGAUUUGAGAUUUCUCUCCCAUUUUGUUCUACUAUUCAGCGAAACCAGUCACCGUGACGGUCAGUAUGGGGGAGAAAGAUGGAACGCAGAUGGCUGCUGUGUCUUUGGUGAAUCUCUCCUCCGCUGCGUCUCCGGUGAAGCUCUCCGCCGCUGCGUCUCCGGUGAAGCUCUCCGCCGCUGCGUCUCCGGUGUAACUCUCCGCCGCUGCGUCUCCGGUGAAGUUCUCGAUCUCUGUGUCCCUGGUCAAGCUCUUGCACCCUGCGUCUCCAGUGAAGCUCUCCGCCGCUGCGUCUCUGACGUAGUUCUUCACCGAUGUUUCUCCACUUCAUAUAUAUGUUAUAUAUGUUGUACGGUUGACGUGUCAUAUAAGAUCUUCUUAUUCGUUAACCGCGUAAAUAGUAUAUUGACUCUAUAACAAUUUGACAUUAAAAAAUCGGAUUUUAAUCUCAAGUAACUCAUUUUUUAAAGAAAUAUAUAUAAUAUUAAUUGUCUAACAAUUUGUCAUGAUCAAUGAAAACAUUGCCUAAACAUUACUCGUAUAUUCAUUUCAUAUGUCAUAGUUAUGAUCUUGAUUCUUAUAAACUUAUGUGCCUGUAAUAUGGAUUCAAACUUUAUGACCGGUCAAUAUUUACAACCGACGAGUAAUUCUAACAAUACUCGGCUAAGAUGAACUUCAAUACAUUAUCGCUUAGGGUGCACGGACAAGUUAUCCGAUUAACAAGAUACAUACCUGUAUAAGAAAUCAGUUUUGUAGAUAAUUUGUUUACACUUACGUGGAGGUAUAGGGGUAGGGUUGGGAAUAAGUGUGUUGGUAUAAGGAUUUAGAUAACCACACCAAAAAAUGCGACACCUGAAACCCUUAAUAAUAAACGCUUAACCCAAACGAUAAAUCCAAUGUCCUGAACCCAAAACCCUAAACCCAAAAUACUAGAUCCUAAACCCAAUAGGAACCCCAGAACCUAAUCCUAGUGACUAAACCGUAAACAAUAAACCUAAAAUACUAAACCCUAAAUCCAAAAUACUAAACCCUAAACCCAAUAGGAUCCCGGGAACCCAAAACCAAAUGUCUAAUCCCUAUUGUAUUUAGGUUUUAGUCUUUUGGGUUUAGGGUUUAGGGAUUAGAGAUUAGGGUUUGGGUUCAGGGGUUCCUAUUGGUUUUAGGGUUUAGGGUUUGGGGUUUAGUGACUAGAGUUUAGGUUCGGGGGUUACUAUUGGGUUUCGGGUUUAGUGACUAUGGUUUGGGUUCCAAGCUUCCUAUUGGGUUUAUGGUUUGGUAUUUUGGGUUUAAGGUUUAGUAUUCAGGGCAUUGGAUUUUUUGUUAACCUAUGUAUCCGUAAUAUAGAAACAAUCGAAUUGGCCGGUCAAUAGUUACAACACUCGGUUCACUCAAAAAAUAUCCGGCUAAGCAGAUAUUUUAAACGUUAUCGUUUUAGGUGAACGGAUAUGUUAGCCGGUUAAAUCGAUAGUAAACUGUAUACGAAUUUAUUUUUCUACAUACCUUGUUUACACUAACAUUUAGGGCGGAGGUGGUAAAGUUGAGAAUAAGGGUAUAAGAUUUAGGAUAUAGUAAUAAGGGUACAAAGUUUAGUGUUUGGGUUUAGAGUAUAGUAAUGUAUAGAGUUUAGUCUUAUCCUAGUUAGAAGUAUUAUUAAUGAUAAAUAGUAUACGGUUAAUAUAUAUUGUACCUGGUGCAAAUAAAAUAUUGGCCGGCUAAUAUUUUAUGGUCUUGUCAUAACAUUGUAGCUGGGGCAACAAAAAAUUUGACCGACGAAUAUUAUAUUUACAUAUCUAAAUAACAAAAAUAAUUAAUUGUGUGGCUACAAAUUAUUAUUGUGAUGGCUCAGCACUCUUCGAACUUAGGGAGAAUCAUGCGAGUGCUGAUGAAGCGAACGACCCUAUGAAUCAAAAUCUGUAUAACAUCUGGUUCGACUUCUGAAUGUUUUAAAUCUGCAGAAUUCUGAUAAAAAACAGACAAUUGCACAUUAAAUUGAUUUACCAUGUGUAGACCGCUCACAUUUGGUCAGUUUUUUGGAAUUCAUUAGAAGAAUAAAUAAAAUAAGCAGAGGAGGAAUCAAGAGGAGGAAGUAAGAGUAUGAAGAAAGAGAAUAAAAAAAAAAUCUCUGACAAAUCUUUUGUUGGAUUUGGGUUACAGCUGCGCCGUAUGUUGUAUUUUGGUUACUGAUGCAAAUUCAUAUAAUAUAAACGAAAUUUUUAUAUUAUCUUGCUAAAUUCACUUAGAUAUCUUCUGUCAGAAAAAAGAUCCUAAGAGUCUAAGACCUGGAAGAUGAGUUUUCAAGCGUCCAGGGUAUUGCCGUCUUUUUGAUUCGUUACUGCCUGCCACGUAUGCUCAUCUUUUCCUUCGUUGGCAUUCUCUUAAUUUAGCGAUUUUUCUAUGUUUUUCACCUAAAUUGCUCUUAAUUUUAAACUAUAUUAAUAUAUAAUACGAAUGUCUAGUAAAUGAGACUUCAUAUUCAUACGAUUUAUGAUUAUUUGUAUCUUUUUAUUACAAAAAAAAUUAUACUGUUGAUCACAAAAUUUUAGUGUGAGAUAUUUAACGUUUUUAGUAAUUUAUAGUCAUUUUAAAAAUUCAAAAUAUAACAUAUAAGAAAAAAAUUAAUUUUUUUAUUAUAUGAUUAAUGUGAUUGUUUAAUAUCUUUUAAUAAUAUAAAAUUAAACAAAAAAGAGCUAAGAUACAAAAAUUAUUAUCAAAUAUUUAUUAUUUAUAAUUAUUGAUUGUCAUAUAUACGUUAAUCAUAUUAGACAAUUCCGUAGCAUUUAUGUAAGGAAAGUGUGAGAAUAUUCUUUUGUACACUAUUUAUUAAUUUAAUAGUUAGUUUAAUAAAAAUUAUAAUAUAAGUUAAGAUAGACCAACCUAUUUUCUAAGAAUUCUGAAUUUCAUUCUCAUAGUGACACGUAACCACAAAACAACGUUCUAAUGUUUCUCAAUUAAUAUAUAAGGGAUGCAGUCACAAAAAUAUAUUUUGUUGUUUAUUCCAUCCGAAUAACGCGACUUUCACACAUUAUUACUUGUUAGUGUGGUACAGUGCUGUAUGUAUUUUCUUAUAAUAAACUAAACAAAUUAUUAUUAAAUUUAUAAAUAUUUGAUUUUUGAUAAAAUCAUACAUGAUAAUUUUUCAGUUAUGUAACUAUUCAAAACUAGUUAACUUAAAGAUAAAAACAAUCAAGUUAUUAACUUAUUUUUAUGCUUUUCAUUUUUAACACUAUAAAAACUCAUUUUCAGAACAAUAAUCAAAUAGACUUAAUAACUGUAAUAAUUUUAUGAUCUUAACAGACUAAACAUGUAACAUAUUUUAAGUUAUUUUAUAUUUAACAAUGAGAUUUUAUCAUCAGAUUUUAAGGACACCAGCAGCGGUAGAGACCCACCAAAGUCUCUCGACCAGAAAUAAUUAUGAGCAAAAAGCAGUAACUAAAAUAGUAAACUUACAAAUGACACAUAGUUUGUUACGAUUUUAGCAAAGCCUCUUCACGAAGAGACGAUCCUUGUGCUUUUCUACUCUUUUUUUUUUUUCAUUUUUCUAUUAUUUUAAUAUACGAAAAACUUUUUCAGAAUUGAUCCAAUGCUGAUGGCCUAAGGGCAUCCGCAUUAAUGGUCUUUGAUGCAGUAUCUUAACAAUGUAAUAAUGUAAAUAAUUGUAAAAAGAAGAGCAAGUGAGAAAAUGAUGAAAGACGUCUCUCGAGAAAGAAAUUCACCGAAAUUGUAGAGAAACUAUGUUGCUAGUUCCUAAUUUAAUUGGCUUAACUUUUUUUCUUUUUAAAAUUUAAUAAUAUAUAUAUAUUAAUACAUUUAAGUGUAGCCACGUGUUAUUACUAAGAUGACUCUCAAAAUCUUUAGAAAAAUAGGUUGGUCCAUCUAAAUAUAGAUUAUAUUUUUUUAUUAAACUAUGAUAAGAUAUGCGCCUUGCGGAAAGUGAGUUUACAAAAUUAAAAUAUAAAAUAUAUGGUUUUGACAAAUUUAAGAUUUAUAUAUGAUUGGUUAUAUAUAUAUAUAAUUAUAUAUAUAUAUAUAUAUAUAUAUAUCUUUGGGUUGUUUUUGUAAUCAUAUAUAUACAUUGGACGGAGAAUAAUUAUAAUUGGAAUUGUGUAUCAAAAAUAAUAAUUUCUUAUGGGGCCAAUUUAUUUGGAUAUUUUAAAGUCAUACUAAUAAAAGUAUUUUCUAUUUUGUUUUAUUAACUUAUUGAUGAUUAAGAUUUGAACAUAAUCGAAAUUAGUGUAAGAAUUUGGAAUGUUAACAUUAAUUUUUUAUUUAACAACAUAAAAUGGAAAAUCCCCUAUAUAAAAAAAUACAGAUUGGGUUAACCUAUAAUUAGUAAAUAAUAUACUGAUGAGCCAUAUUAAAUUAAUAUUUGGAGACGACAUUUUUUAUUGCUUUAAAUCUGAAGAUGGAUAGAUAUCUCGAAGAAUGAUGGUUUUGUUUGAGAACAACCCCUAGGUUAUAUAGGAUUGCUUGUUAUGUUUAAAUUAUAAUAGCAUUAACUAUUUCGUACAUCGAAUAUAUAUUUUUUCCCUAGCUUCCGAAUUGUUUUGGGUAUGACAUUACUUGGUGCCAAAGUUUUAUUAGUAUUAAAUAUAAAUUACCAUUAUUUGCUCAAGGUGGAGUGACGAUCAAGCAUAUAUUUUUGAUGUAUAUAAUAGUUUGUGGAUCUAGCUUUGUGUAUUUAUUUAUUUCCUUGUUGACUAAAGACAUAAUAUAUAAUUACCUAAAUUCCCUUAAGUAUAUGAGUGUGUUACACUGUCCAUAAAUUUGAUACGGAUAUUUAUUGACUACAGUUCGGUUAAAUUAAAAUUUAAAUAAAUCUUCACCGGCAUCGAAAUAGUAUAAAGCGGAUAUCCAUUAUAUUUUCCAUUGAUAUUAGUCUAAAAUAUAUUCCAUCGUUCUAUAUAUUCGUAUACAACCACUGCUUGAAUAUUAAAAGAAAAUCACACCCUACUCAUCGGCUUUAUAAUCAAUUUAGACUGAUUGUAGACAAUAUAUAAUGUUACUAUACAAAAAAAACACAUUGGACUGCUAAUUCAUUCUGUGGUUUGAAGAACGCAUGAUAUGAUCAAAUUUCCAAACGAAACCAUAUUCAAAUGAUUUGUAGAAUGUAUGAUAUGAUGACAUUCGAAUGACAUAAUCAUAAAAAUGUGUUUCAGUGUGUUCCAUAUACAAUAUAUAUAUAUAUAUAUUAGUCUGAGUAGUAAGUUAAUGAGAUCGCCGAGUAUUAAGUCUAUCAUAUACAUUUAUGUUUGGGUUAAUAUAAGUUUUAUUAACAAUUGAAUUUUGAACUUACUAAUUUUUCAAUUGAUUCUUAUGCUACCAUGUAAGCCUAAUUGACAUCUUAAUUAAGUGACACAUAAGUAAUAAUCUUUUUUAAUUAAUAUAAACUUAAGGUUACAGCUUAUUAAAUAAUUUUCUAUUAAUAUAUAUGGGAUGAUAAGUAUCGAUGUAUCGGUCGUAACAAUGUUUAGAGUCAGAUUUUUUUAAUGUUAAGUUAUUUAAUUUCCCAGAAAAUAUUUUUUAAUCAAUAGUUUGUCCAAGUUAUUGUGAGGCUGCCACGUAAGCAAUAAAAUGAUGUUAGGUUAUGACACCUCACCAAGUCUAAAAUGUAAUUAAUAAAAAAUUAAAGUUAUAUCUUUUAAAUGAUCCUCAAAUAAUAUAUAGGAGAUUAACUAUCAAAUUGAUUAGUAGUGCAUAAAAGAACAUUCUCAAUUCUUUCCUUAAAUAAAAGCUACAAAAUUACCUAAUAUGAUUAAUAUAUAUAUAUGACAAUUAAUGAUUUUGAAUAAUAAAGAUUUGAUAAUAUUUUUUGUAUCAUCCAUCAUUUUUGUUUAAUUUAUAUUAUUAAAAAAAUAACAAUCACAUUAACUAUAUAAUAAAAAAAUCUAGAUUUUUUUUCUUAUAUGUUAUAUUUGAAUUUUUUUAAAAUAAUUAUAAAUUAAUAAAAUUGUUACAAGUCUUACACUGAGAAUGUUAUGAACAAUGGUUUUACUCUUUUUGUUAUAAAACGAUACAAAUGAUCAUACAAUCAUAUAAACUGAAGUAUCAUUUAAUAGAUAUUCAGAUUAAAUAUUGAGAAAUUCCCUAGAAUAACUUUUUUUAAGUUUUUGUCACAAAAAUAGCACUCAAUGAACAAAAUGACCAAAAUAAGUUUUAUCAAAGGGUAAAACUACAUUUUAACCCUAGGGUUAACUAAUCUAGACUUAAGGUUUAGAGUUAAGGUGUGUGGUUUUAGGGAUAGGAUUUCAAUUGUUUUUAAAAAAAAAAAAAAUUGAAAUUUUCAAAAUAAAAAGGGGCUAUUUUGGUUUUUUUCUUUCUUGAGAGCUAUUUUGUGACAAAAACUUAAAAAAUGGCUAUUUGAGAGAAUUGCCCUUAAAUAUAUAUAUAUAUAUAUAUAUAUAUAUAUAUAUAUACUUUAAUCUCCUAUAAAUUAAACUAUAUACCGUAUAAAAAUACAUAUACAUUAAUUUCAUAAUUUCAUUGAAAAGGUAUUGCGACCUGAAUAUUUUAAUUUUGAAAUUUACAUUGAAUUUUUUAAAACGAUUAUAAAUUACUAACACUAUAAAAAAUCUCACACAGAAAAUUUUGUGAUUAAUGGUUUAAAUUUUUUGUUACAGAAAAUAUAAAAAUGUUAAUAAAAUCAUAUCAGUAUGAACUAGGAAGGUUCAAUUAAAUAUUCAUACUAAAUGUACUAUGUAUGUCAAUACAUUUAAAUUUAAUUUUACCAUAUAAAAUAAAUAAAAUGAUUGCUUUGAUUUAUUUACUUUGAUUUAUGUGCUUACUGCAGUUUAAUUAUGUACAUAAUAUUUACUCAUUUCCCAAUUAUUCAUUACAUUUAUUAUUUCAUAAUACUUAAAUGAACACAAAAUAAAUAAUGAUAUGUAAAAAUAAUUUGUAUAACUAAUGAUAAUCCCGCGCAAUGCGCAUGUCUUUGUUGAUGUAUUAAAGUCGGAUAUUCUCUCAAUUGAUUGAAACUAAUGUUUUCAGAGAAAGCUUGCGCGAAAAUAAAAUUCAAAGACAAAACAAAUGUGGGUUAAUAGAAACGUUAUUGUAAGCACAAAUAUUACAGAUUUAAACAAGAAAUCACCUGUGGAGAGUCAAAGUAGUAUGAGAUCAACCAAAACCCUAAUUUCCUUUUCGAUUGCCAGUCAGUAUUUUCAAUGUUUGUCGUUUCUAUAUCUGGUAAAAGAGUGGACCAAAAAUGAAAUUUUUUUAUGUAUUGUUUCAACUCCAACGUUUAAUUAAUUGGGCUUUUACGAAAACAAUUUAUCAACACUUGGCCCGAUACGCAGCAUCAUAUAUUAUAGUAUAAGUCUAUAACAUGUAACAUCUUUUGGACUUAUGAAACAAUGUAAUUGUUUAGAAAGAACAAAGUUAAUAUACAGCAAUCGUUAGCCAUUAAAAUUGACUCUGCACAUGCGAGUGGGUUAUCAACUAAUUAUUAUUAUAUUGGAAAAAAUUCAGAUUGAGAGUAUGUACCGAUGUUGUUGCUCUAAGUUUUCUAUUGAAUUAUAUGAUAAUCAAUUUAGUAAUAAAAUCUUUGUAAUAUCUAACAAAAAUAAAUGUUAGGCAUACAUCGUAAGCAGGAACAACAAGAGAGUGAUAUAUAUCAAUAUUCUUUUUGAAAACUUCUCACAUGGUAAUAGAGGGGAUUAAAUAGACGGUCAUAUCUUAUUAGAUCAAACGUGAAAUAAACAUUUUAUUGGAAGUACAACAUGUAGUUUAUUCUUUUUCUCAAACGUAAAAACAAAACAUGUAGUAACUUCAGAAACCAUAUUGUGCAUGUGUGUGCACUAACGUUUUAUUGGAAACAAAAAGGAAACAACAACAGAGAUUCAGAUCAGGUUCACCCAUUUUGUUCAGAUCCUUAAAUGGCUCAACGAAUUGUUCCCAUCACGUUUUCUAGCCACAUAGUGGUUGGAGGCUUCCGGAGUGGUUUCCCUGUACU
This 38122-nucleotide long non-coding RNA is filed under the name Brassica napus (rape). RNAcentral describes it as "long non-coding RNA (BNAP_LNC016401)". The record is from RNAcentral. Lineage: Eukaryota; Viridiplantae; Streptophyta; Magnoliopsida; Brassicales; Brassicaceae.